Molecule: ribosomal RNA, 478 nt
Filed under: uncultured bacterium
Lineage: Bacteria
Description: bacterial SSU rRNA
Rfam family: Bacterial small subunit ribosomal RNA
Source: RNAcentral
UGACAGUACUCCUACGGGGAGGCAGCAGUGGGGGAAUAUUGCACAAUGGGCGCAAGCCUGAUGCAGCCAUGCCGCGUGUGUGAAGAAGGACCUUCGGGUUGUAAAGCACUUUCAGUCGUGAGGAAGGUAGUGUAGUUAAUAGCUGCAUUAUUUGACGUUAGCGACAGAAGAAGCACCGGCUAACUCCGUGCCAGCAGCCGCGGUAAUACGGGAGGGUGCGAGCGUUAAUCGGAAUUACUGGGCGUAAAGCGCAUGCAGGUGGUUUGUUAAGUCAGAUGUGAAAGCCCGGGGCUCAACCUCGGAAUAGCAUUUGAAACUGGCAGACUAGAGUACUGUAGAGGGGGGUAGGAAUUUCAGGUGUAGCGGUGAAAUGCGUAGAGAUCUGAAGGAAUACCGGUGGCGAAGGCGGCCCCCUGGACAGAUACUGACACUCAGAUGCGAAAGCGUGGGGAGCAAACAGGAUUAGAUACCCUGGUAG